This is a long non-coding RNA of Lolium perenne, 806 nucleotides long. RefSeq lists it as uncharacterized. The record is from RefSeq and is a predicted model, not a curated record. NCBI's taxonomy places the organism in Eukaryota, Viridiplantae, Streptophyta, Magnoliopsida, Poales, Poaceae.
AUCCAGGCACCAAAAGAUUGUGAAUGGGAUCCUUUUCUAUUUUCCAUUUUGUGUCAUGCAUGUGAAAAUGAUCAAGUAUAUGGUGCUGAACCUGAAUUCUAUUGUUGUUUCCUCUUAUUGUUUUGAUUUUUUAUAUUUGCACUCAGGUCGCGGAUUUUUGGUUGUGGUGGCAAAUCAAUUCAACGGUCAAGUAUGUGAUGAUGCUACAGCUGAAUGUUUUGCAAUAGGGUCAUGGACUCUUGUAAAGCAAGCAAGUAGAAAAAUUAAUUGGCGUGGGAAGUGCUCCAGACAUACGGUGACUUGGUCGGACCGACGAUAGCGCGGGAAGCGGAUUGGGAAGGCACCCUAUAACACGUCGUUAGGCUCCGUUUGUUGCUUUGAUCAGGCACCUUUGUCAAAUAUCAUACCAUAUCUGCUCUUGUUGGUGGUAGUCUUUUGGCUGAACAGAAGUGCCCCCCCCCCCCCAUGAAAAUAAACGUGAUGCUCGCUUGCAAGGACCUGCUUGUAGUCAUGGACUAAUGACUGUUGUAGUGAUGACAUUGGCUGGAAAAGGAGUAAAGCUUGUCGUCAAAACAGGAAACUCCACUCUCCGUCAAAUCAAAAACUUCACUUGGCACCGUUGAACACAAUGGCAGGCUCCCUCCACUUUUUGUUCAGGCACCUUUGUCAAGAUUCUAACAAGAAAUCGAAGAAUGGAAGAUGUAUGCAAGGACAAAUGUUGAGCAGACAAAGAAGGAAAGUAUUUGUGGUCAUGACUUCCAUGUUUAUCGCCUAAGCAAAGCGUGAUUUCAAAUUUUCCAGCGUGC